UAUAUCUACUUUUGGUUCUGUUGUAGCUUUCGACCUUUUCAAUCUUUGGGAAGUCAACUUACCAUGUUGGCGGGACAAUUACAUUCACAAAAUGAUGAUUACUUGGUUUGAACUUUAGGCCAAUCCACUUACCAUGUCGGCGGGACAAUUACAUUUAGUCAUGUGAUUAGCUAGAUGUCCAUUAGCUUGCCAUUAAUUUUGACUUAUAGCCUACCCAAUGAGUAGAUUGGCUCAAUUUCUAUAACAAGUUUCAUGGUAUGUGACUCACCUUUUGCAUGUAUUGAAUAUUUUGCAAAUGCAACUCUGGUGGGAAAAAAUGCAGAAUGUGAAAGUUCAUAUACAGUUGCUGUAUGUGAUGAUUUUGCGAACGCAACUCUGCCCUCCAAUCAUGUGCAAGGCAUGUGCUACCCUCCAAACAUCUGGAUGGUCUUAAUUGACAUACAUGAAUGCUAAAUGCACCAUUUAAGAAACAGUGGAUAGCAUAUGUACAACUAUGCUAUUUUGAAGGAUUGCAAAAGUCACAUCCUUUUUUUUUUUUUUUUGAAUGCAAUAGUUGUGAUUUUUUACAUUCACUUGAUUGAAUCUGAAAUGGUUUUUUAUGUUUUAAUUUUAUUAUGAUUUUUAUUUGUUCUUGCAUUAAUGAAUGGAAUGUUGCUUUUCAGAUUCUUUUCAUUGAAUCUGGAUUGUUUUUUUUUUUAAAAAAAAAUUUGUUGAAUUUAUUUAUUUUGGGUUAAAUGAGAGAAUAGCUUGAUCGAUUGGAUAUUUCUUAAAUUCUUCAUUUAGGAAAAGCUAUGUAUCAAGUGCAACCUGCCUGAUGGACCAUGGAUUAUAAUCACCAGACCAAAUUUAACAUGUUAGUCACUUGUAUGCAUAUGCAACUAGAUUGUCAUGUGUACAGUGCGCAUAUAGAUGAACAUAUGGAUAAAAUACAUGCAUGCUUUUUAGUGCUUCCUGGUGAAAGGAUUGAAGGCCUGAUUUCUCCUACAGGGAACCGACAUCUCUACAAGGUGUGUUUUUUUUUUUUCCUCUUUUUCUUUUUCUGCAAAAUCACUUGAAGUUUUAGCAGGCAAGCUUACUUUCCAUUUCUCCUACCAUUUAAUUCUCGAUGAAAAUAUUUGGGGGUGGGAAUAUUUUUUAAUGGGCUGAGUUGAUAAGUUAAACUAUUCUUGGAAAUGAAGGGCAAAUAAUUUAAAAGGUGGGGGAAGCUUGUGAGGUGGGCCACAACAUGGAGGAAGCACAUUUACUACAUGCUCAACAAGGAAUUCCAAUAUCGGAAUAUGGGGCAUUAGAAAAAUCAGCACAAGCCUAUAAAUGGGUUGAACCCCAAUUGGAAACAGUUAAAGUUGAGAGUUAAUUGCUACAGAUUUGCUGUUUCUUUCUUUUACUAAAUAUGCUCGUAUUAUGGUUGUAGUAUAGAUAUUUUUUACUUUAUGAAGAAAUUCAGUGUUGUAGGAUUAGUUUGAAAA
Long non-coding RNA from Magnolia sinica, 1466 nucleotides. RefSeq lists it as uncharacterized. Lineage: Eukaryota; Viridiplantae; Streptophyta; Magnoliopsida; Magnoliales; Magnoliaceae. The record is from RefSeq and is a predicted model, not a curated record. The transcript has 2 exons.